ACCGCAUCCCGUCUGAUCUGCGCAGUUAAACACAGUGCCGCCUAGUUAGUACCAUGGUGGGGGACCACAUGGGAAUCCUGGGUGCUGUGGUUUUUUGUUUUUAUUACAUAGUGAUUCAGUAAUAAAGUGAAUAAGUAGUAAAGUUAAUCAAUAUAAUUGAUUGAAUCUCAAAUCAAUCAUUUCAUGAUAUGAAGGACGGAGUUGACCUACAGUGAUAAGAAAGCAAGACAAGCUCUUGGGCUUGUUCGUUUGAGACUUUAUACCGAGGUACACACAUAAAGCUAUUAAGGAAAUGGUAUUCUAGGUGUCUACGGUAUUAUUUUCUCAAAUUAUGAGGCCGCGUGCCGGACUUGUAUGGGAGGAGUAAUUUGUGGACACCUUUUUCACGCCCAUCGCUCGCGGCAACACAACAUGACCAAACAGACCGGGUUUCCUAUUAUAUGAGGGGAACACAUGAACGGGCAGUCAGUCUCAGUGACCGGCUGGUUUAGUAGUGUUAGUACGUUCAUAGCAGUGAUAUUGGGGAGUUGAAAGCUAGACCCUUCCAGGUCUUGUCUAGUAGGCUCCUCAGCUUUCAUUGGGGGUUGGCUGGCUGUCCCUUGACCGAGUUAUUGAAAUGUCUGUCCAGCAGACUGUCACUGGCUUGGAACAGGAGAAGCUUGGCAGUUCUGAAGGUUAUAGAGCCCUUCAGGCCAGAUUUUGAAGUCGAGUAUCUUUUUGAUGCUUGCAAAGUGUGAAGCGGUGUGGACUACUUGCUGAUGGCCAAGCCUGUAAGCAAUUAGCAAUUUGAGAAUCCGCCGUGGCUGCUUGUGGCUGCUCAUUUGUUUGAACAGUUGCCAGCCACUUGGUAGUUCUCUCUGAGGGUUAUAAUCUUUGUUGCUUCUGUGACAGAGAGAAGUAGUCCGAAAUUUGUGGGACUGGGGAACAAGGCUUGGCUCAAUUGCUGGCUGGUGACUGCGAGUAAAGUAGUGUUUUACUAUUUGAAUGCUUUCUCUGGUUGCUUUUGGGUCUAUUCAACCCGAAGUUGACGAACUCCUGACCGGGAAAGCAGCCGUUUGUGCUGUGAAUACUGGGAAAGCUGUGCCUUUUAGGUGCAGUGCCGGAAAGUAGUUACCUGGUUGAUUCUGCCAGU
Molecule: ribosomal RNA, 1132 nt
Filed under: Tropicoporus linteus
Lineage: Eukaryota; Fungi; Basidiomycota; Agaricomycetes; Hymenochaetales; Hymenochaetaceae
Source: RNAcentral